Molecule: ribosomal RNA, 432 nt
Filed under: uncultured bacterium
Lineage: Bacteria
Description: bacterial SSU rRNA
Rfam family: Bacterial small subunit ribosomal RNA
Source: RNAcentral
UGAGGAAUAUUGGUCAAUGGUCGGGAGACUGAACCAGCCAAGCCACGUGAGGGAUGAAGGUGCUAAGCAUUGUAAACCUCUUUUGUCAGGGAACAAAGGCAUCCACGAGUGGGUGUGUGAGUGUACCUGAAGAAAAAGCAUCGGCUAACUCCGUGCCAGCAGCCGCGGUAAUACGGAGGAUGCGAGCGUUAUCCGGAUUUAUUGGGUUUAAAGGGUGCGUAGGCGGCCUGUUAAGUCAGCGGUAAAAGCCCGGGGCUCAACCCGGCGAGCGUUGAAACUGGCUGGCUGGAGUUGGCGAGAGGUAUGCGGAAUGCGCGGUGUAGCGGUGAAAUGCUUAGAUAUCGCGCAGAACUCCGAUUGCGAAGGCAGCAUGCCGGCGCCACACUGACGCUGAGGCACGAAAGCGUGGGGAUGCAAACAGGAUUAGAUACC